This 3457-nucleotide long non-coding RNA is filed under the name Nicotiana tabacum (common tobacco). RNAcentral describes it as "long non-coding RNA (NTAB_LNC009210)". Lineage: Eukaryota; Viridiplantae; Streptophyta; Magnoliopsida; Solanales; Solanaceae. The record is from RNAcentral.
UAAAGACCAAACUUUGAGAGGUUUAGGGUAUCUUUUAUUUCUCUUUAUUUAUUAUAUUUUCUAGAUUAUCUAUGUUAGGUUUAUCAUGCAUGAGUUCAUGUUCAUCCUCUUGGGAUUAUCUUUUGUAUUUGAAUGUUAAUUCAUUGUUCUAGUUGAUAUAUCUUUCAGGGUCUUUGAAUUGUAUUCUUUACUUAGCUUAAUUCGUAUUAGUUGUUCUUGUUCUUCCUAGAUUAGUGUUUAUUAUAAGAACUUAAGGAGUCUAUCUAGUUCAUAGUUAGGUUGUUGUCUUUCUCUAUUUUAAACCCUAAUCUCGUAUCUUAUUGAUUCCGUGUAUUUUUGCAUUUUCAAUAUGAUUCCGUAUCAUCUUUGUAUUAGAGCGAAGGUUAAAGAUUGUUCAAUCAAUCCUUGGGUCAUUGUUCUGUUAUCAUCAAUCUGAAAAUCAAAAAUUACUAAAAAUAGCAGGUUACUGUUCAUCUGUGACUGAAAUACAAAUCGUAUCUCCUUGUUCUUCUAUGUUUGUUUCCAAAAUAGAAAUACAAAAGAUUAUCUCCCUCAAUUUUGAUUCUGAAACUUCUGAAUUUCUUCACUAUCUGAGAUUGAAUCACUUAUUUGAGCUGAAAUUCGAAGUUGGUUUGAGAAUUGAAACCUAAAUCGACCAACAGCAGAAAUCGAAAUUUGGAGGAUUUGCUCCGAAUCGAAAUUUUGAGCUCGAAAUCGAUUGGGUGAGUUCUAAUCUUGUUGGUACAUCUUGAUUGAGGUGAAAUCUGAUGAAUUAGGGCCGAUUUGAUCUGAAUCUCUAGGUUUGGGUUCAAAAUAUUUCGAAGCUGCUUCAGUGGAGAAGACGGCCUAGGGUUCAUCGAUUUAGUGAGCCUUGUUCCAAAUUGAUUUAGGAGCUUUGUUCGAGCUGUUGUUGGGAGUUUGUAAUCCAAAUUUGAGCUCCAUUGGUGAAGGUUUGGGUCAGUGACGAAUCGAAAAUGCUGUGGCGGAAUUCGACAAAAUUGCAGCUGUGUUCUUCAUCCGCUAGGAGUCGUUUGCUACUGAUUUGUCGCCUCGAACAUCAAUUCAUCGUCACACACAGGUUUGGUACUUCUAAGAUCAACCUUGCUUCAUUUUCUGAAAAUUCAUUCAUCGCAACAUUCAGUUUUGAUUCCUUGAGAAUAAGCACUGAAUUUUUACUCGAUUGUCUGAGUUGAUUGAGUCUGAAUUCGUUAGUCGACUCGAAGUUGUUAUUAGUUUGAAAUAUUGUAUGAAGUUCUGGUUUAUGAAUUCAGUUGAGAAUUUUGAUUGAGUUUCAAAGUGUUAACUGAAAGAUCUCAUUGAUAGCUUGGUCGAGGUUCUGUAUUUGCUCUUGUUGUUGGUAGUUGCGCAUGAGUUUCUGAAUUCUAUUGGAGCAAAGCUUAUGAAAAUUGAAAAAAAAUUGAUAAACAAUUGAGCAGAUUUCAAAUAGCUACAGCUUAGUUCUUCAAUCCAGAUUGUUUUACUGAGCUUCAGUUGCCAAGUUUUCUAAUUUCAAGCUCCUUGAAACUUAAAGAGGAGUGAACAGAUUUUCUUUAAGCAUCAGCUCGACACUGCCCAGUUUUCUUAGCCAAAGUGGGAUUGAUUGUUGCUGUUGCUAGCUCUAGAAUUGGGUUGGAAUUUGAAUCUAAGUGUUGAAUUGAGAUUGGUUACAAUUCUUGUGCACUUUUGGACAGUUUUCUGCACUUUUUGAGCCAAGUUUAGCUUCAGUUUACUGCAGCUUUAUAGCCUGUUUGGCCAAGCUUCUUUCGAGGCAAAAGCGCUUUUUUUUGGGUCAAAAGUGUUUUUUUUUCUAAAAUUAAGGUGUUUGGCCAAGCUUUUGAAAGGAAAAAAAAGUGAUUUUGAGGUGAAGCAGAAGCAGUUUUGUAGAAGCAGAAAAAAGUAGUUUCUCUCCAAAAGCACUUUUGAGAAAAAUACACUUACAAGCAGGUUUUUAAAGCUUGGCCAAACACUAAUUGCUGCUCAGAAGUACUUUUCAAAUUAAUUAGCCAAACACAAAUUGCUUCUCACCAAAAGUACUAUUGAGAAAAGCACUUUUGAGAAAAAACACUUCUCAAAAUAAACUGAUUUUUGCAGCUGGGCCAAACAGGCUAUUAGACUUUCUACUGUUUGAUUUGUUUUUCAGAAGUUCUUCCCUACUGAACUUCUACAGUUUGGUAAACUGCUUAGCUGCUGUGAAAUUGGUUGACGUUAGCUGAUUUGAGUUUGAUCAACUAUUUGAAAUCUGCUAAUUUGAGGUUGGAUGUUUUGGAGUUUAGUUUGGACUUGAGUUUGGCAGAGGAAGCUCAACAGUUUGAGAAUUCAUUUGUGAGGACUAAACAUUAAAUGUUGUUGCUUACAAAAAUCUUGUGAUAGCACCUGCAGUUCUGCCAGAUUUUGUUAAUUUGUCCAAGAUUAAUUCUGCAGCAGAUUUUCAGUUUCUCCAUUGUUUAGUUGCUAAAAAUCUGAGUUGCUACCCAGUUCUGCACUAGUAGUACUCUGCAAAUUAUGUGUUGUUUAAGCUGAUUGUCUGCACUGGUUAGGUUUCUGACAUGGCUGCUAAAGUUUAAAUCCUUGGACUGUUUUAGGGUGUUAUUGACUGAGAAAAAAACCAGAAGAAUUUUCAGGCAUUCCAGCUGCAGUUUGAACUAAAUCUGCAGUAUUUGAACUUGUGUUUGAAGCAGAAAACCAGUUGAUCUUUGGGGAUUGAAAAUCUGUGAAUUGAAGAGGCCUAUAGCUGCUGUUAAGUUGAAUUGCAAACUGCAGGUUGUAGUUCCCUGCUGCUACAGUUUGGCUGCAAUUGUGAACAUCUUCAGUAGCUUGCAGUCACUGAUGAACUUUGCAUUUGAGCUACAACUUGGAGUCUUUUUACAGAAUUGUGAAGAAGAUUGCUCAGGAGAUCACCAACAGUCUGCAACCUUGUCAGUUAUUGUGAGGCUGUCCAGAAUUGCAGAUUUGACCAGUCCUUACCUAUGUGGCCAUUCUUUGCAAAUCCGACCAAUUUUACAAAACUAGCCAGUUUUUGAGAAUAUGACCAAAAUUUGGAUAAGUGUCUAGUUUUGUAGUUUCUUUUCUUUUAUUUCUUUUCAAUUUGUAGGAAACUCAACUCUUAACAAGAUUAACUUGAUAUUAGUUCAUAUUGAGUUUAUUUCUAGUUUCUUUGUGUGCUUUUGUCACGACCCAGCCUAGGCCCGCGAUGGAUAACCGAUACUAAGUGUCGAUCAUCACUAAACUUGUUGAUAAUCUAAUAAUCAUAAAUAUAAACGGAUAAACUGAACAAGCAUAAGCAUAGCUGAUAAGAACUGUACAAUCUGGAAAGCUGACAAGGCUAACACAAGCUGACAUAUAAAAAUGUAUUAACUGCACAGGUGCAUAUCUACAGGCCUCUAGGAGUGCUGAACUGAAAAAGUACUAGACGGAACAGGGCCCCGUCAUACCCAAACUAGCUGACUGUACACAUACC